This 503-nucleotide ribosomal RNA is filed under the name Theileria orientalis. Its description in RNAcentral is "SSU rRNA". It matches the Rfam family "Eukaryotic small subunit ribosomal RNA", at positions 551 to 1090 of the family's 1831-position model. Lineage: Eukaryota; Apicomplexa; Aconoidasida; Piroplasmida; Theileriidae. The record is from RNAcentral.
GAGGGCAAGUCUGGUGCCAGCAGCCGCGGUAAUUCCAGCUCCAAUAGCGUAUAUUAAAAUUGUUGCAGUUAAAAAGCUCGUAGUUGAAUUUCUGCUGCAUUACAUAUCUCUUGUUUGAGUUUGUUUUUGUGGCUUAUUUCGGAUUGAUUUUUUCUUUCCGGAUGAUUACUUUGAGAAAAUUAGAGUGCUCAAAGCAGGCUUUUGCCUUGAAUAGUUUAGCAUGGAAUAAUAAAGUAGGACUUUGGUUCUAUUUUGUUGGUUUUAGGUACCAAAGUAAUGGUUAAUAGGAACAGUUGGGGGCAUUCGUAUUUAACUGUCAGAGGUGAAAUUCUUAGAUUUGUUAAAGACGAACUACUGCGAAAGCAUUUGCCAAGGAUGUUUUCAUUAAUCAAGAACGAAAGUUAGGGGAUCGAAGACGAUCAGAUACCGUCGUAGUCCUAACCAUAAACUAUGCCGACUAGAGAUUGGAGGUCGUCAGUUUUUACGACUCCUUCAGCACCUUG